Molecule: long non-coding RNA, 542 nt
Filed under: Numida meleagris (helmeted guineafowl)
Lineage: Eukaryota; Metazoa; Chordata; Aves; Galliformes; Numididae
Description: lncRNA (ENSNMEG00000005644.1)
Source: RNAcentral
CUGUUGGCAAACAAGUUUUAUUGUAUUUGUCUAACACAAGAUGCAUGUUAUUAUUUAACCAGGUCAAGAGGGGUAUACAAUGAACUCUUGCUUAACAAGCAAGGUAUAAACAAGUGGGAUUCUGCUGAGGCUGGAGCCGCUACCUGCCGCAAAAUUUCUUGUGGACAAUCUAUGUGUUUUCUCUUUUUAUUUUGGAGUUGUUUAGCCUGAAAGUUUCAUCCAUUUAUAAAGAAAAAUGAUACAGCAAGCUCUUGCAAUGCAGAGGGAUGACUGGCCAGGAAUGAACUGUAAGAAAUCUGCAGUCGAUUGCCUUAAACAGCAAUGGGGCAGAGCUGGGGAGUACUUCUCAAGCAAUCAGUUUGGGGAAAAUCCAUCAUAAAUUAGACAAGCUUCAUCUGAGUGUCUAUUGUAAAAUUCUAAAGAUAAAGAUCAUCUCACAAUUUCUCAGUGUUCGUUCUCCAUCCUAUUUAUUUUAGCAGGUAUGCUGCAUUUUACAGCACUUUGUGCAUCUAAAUUUUUUAUAGUCCCAGAUAGGUUAAUUA